This 210-nucleotide long non-coding RNA is filed under the name Prunus persica (peach). RNAcentral's name for it is "long non-coding RNA (PPER_LNC000226)". The record is from RNAcentral. Lineage: Eukaryota; Viridiplantae; Streptophyta; Magnoliopsida; Rosales; Rosaceae.
UUAUAUUGGGAGAAAAGAAACCAUGAAAUUUUGAUCUUGGAUGCCAAGCAUGGGAAAAAGAGAAAGACACAACUACUAUGGUAACCCCACUAAACUUGUAAUGUCCAACUAGCGAACUACCUGUCACCACCGACAAAAAAGUACUAACCGAGUGCUUGGGUGAUAUAAUGUGCAAUUCGAUACCCAUCAAGAUCACAAUUCAUGAAAAAG